Mycena vitilis is the source of this 103-nucleotide non-coding RNA. The record is from the annotation of a GenBank genome assembly. NCBI's taxonomy places the organism in Eukaryota, Fungi, Basidiomycota, Agaricomycetes, Agaricales, Mycenaceae.
GCGCGGAUGGGGUAGUGGUAACCUGGGUCGUUGCCAAGGGUUUUCUACACCGCCAGAUAUCUGCACAAUCGACCCGCCGGGGGUUCAAUUCCCCCUCCGCGCA